This 440-nucleotide ribosomal RNA is filed under the name uncultured bacterium. Its description in RNAcentral is "partial 16S ribosomal RNA". It matches the Rfam family "Bacterial small subunit ribosomal RNA", at positions 338 to 795 of the family's 1533-position model. The record is from RNAcentral.
CCUACGGGAGGCAGCAGUGGGGGAUAUUGCACAAUGGGGGGAACCCUGAUGCAGCGACGCCGCGUGGGUGAAGAAGCGCCUCGGCGCGUAAAGCCCUGUCAGCAGGGAAGAAAAUGACGGUAGCUGAAGAAGAAGCCCCGGCUAACUACGUGCCAGCAGCCGCGGUAAUACGGAGGGGGCAAGCGUCAUCCGGAUUUACUGGGUGUAAAGGGGGCGCAGACGGCGAUGCAAGCCAGGAGUGAAAGCCCGGGGCCCAACCCCGGGACUGCUCGUGGAACUGCGUGGCUAGAGUGCAGGAGGGGCAGGCGGAAUUCCUGGUGUAGCGGUGAAAUGCGUAGAUAUCAGGAGGAACACCGGUGGCGAAGGCGGCCUGCUGGACUGCAACUGACGUUGAGGCCCGAAAGCGUGGGGAGCAAACAGGAUUAGAUACCCUUGUAGUC